This 509-nucleotide ribosomal RNA is filed under the name Salmonella enterica subsp. enterica. RNAcentral's name for it is "partial 23S ribosomal RNA". It matches the Rfam family "Bacterial large subunit ribosomal RNA", at positions 683 to 1190 of the family's 2925-position model. The record is from RNAcentral. RNAcentral also lists the same sequence under 1 other name. Lineage: Bacteria; Pseudomonadati; Pseudomonadota; Gammaproteobacteria; Enterobacterales; Enterobacteriaceae.
CUUAACCGGGCGUUAAGUUGCAGGGUAUAGACCCGAAACCCGGUGAUCUAGCCAUGGGCAGGUUGAAGGUUGGGUAACACUAACUGGAGGACCGAACCGACUAAUGUUGAAAAAUUAGCGGAUGACCUGUGGCUGGGGGUGAAAGGCCAAUCAAACCGGGAGAUAGCUGGUUCUCCCCGAAAGCUAUUUAGGUAGCGCCUCGUGAAUUCAUCUCCGGGGGUAGAGCACUGUUUCGGCUAGGGGGCCAUCCCGGCUUACCAACCCGAUGCAAACUGCGAAUACCGGAGAAUGUUAUCACGGGAGACACACGGCGGGUGCUAACGUCCGUCGUGAAGAGGGAAACAACCCAGACCGCCAGCUAAGGUCCCAAAGUCAUGGUUAAGUGGGAAACGAUGUGGGAAGGCCCAGACAGCCAGGAUGUUGGCUUAGAAGCAGCCAUCAUUUAAAGAAAGCGUAAUAGCUCACUGGUCGAGUCGGCCUGCGCGGAAGAUGUAACGGGGCUAAACCAU